RNAcentral lists this ribosomal RNA (301 nucleotides) under uncultured bacterium. RNAcentral's name for it is "partial 16S ribosomal RNA". It matches the Rfam family "Bacterial small subunit ribosomal RNA", at positions 509 to 807 of the family's 1533-position model. The record is from RNAcentral.
CAGUAGCCACGGUAAUACAGAGGGUGCGAGCGUUAAUCGGAUUUACUGGGCGUAAAGCGUGCGUAGGCGGCUUCUUAAGUCGGAUGUGAAAUCCCUGAGCUUAACUUAGGAAUUGCAUUCGAUACUGGGAAGCUAGAGUAUGGGAGAGGAUGGUAGAAUUCCAGGUGUAGCGGUGAAAUGCGUAGAGAUCUGGAGGAAUACCGAUGGCGAAGGCAGCCAUCUGGCCUAAUACUGACGCUGAGGUGCGAAAGCGUGGGGAGCAAACAGGAUUAGAUACCCGCGUAGUCCCUGUCUCUUAUAC